RNAcentral lists this ribosomal RNA (153 nucleotides) under Dermacentor silvarum. RNAcentral's name for it is "5.8S ribosomal RNA". It matches the Rfam family "5.8S ribosomal RNA". Rfam says of the family: 5.8S ribosomal RNA (5.8S rRNA) is a component of the large subunit of the eukaryotic ribosome. It is transcribed by RNA polymerase I as part of the 45S precursor that also contains 18S and 28S rRNA. Functionally, it is thought that 5.8S rRNA may be involved in ribosome translocation. Lineage: Eukaryota; Metazoa; Arthropoda; Arachnida; Ixodida; Ixodidae. The record is from RNAcentral.
GACUCUAAGCGGUGGAUCACUCGGUUCUCGGGUCGAUGAAGAACGCAGCCAGCUGCGAGACUUGGUGUGAAUUGCAGGACACACUGAGCACUGAUUCUUUGAACGCACAUUGCGGCCUUGGGUCUUCCCUUGGCUUCGUCUGUCUUCGUCUGU